RNAcentral lists this ribosomal RNA (432 nucleotides) under uncultured bacterium. RNAcentral's name for it is "partial 16S ribosomal RNA". It matches the Rfam family "Bacterial small subunit ribosomal RNA", at positions 29 to 506 of the family's 1533-position model. The record is from RNAcentral.
AGCGAACGCUGGCGGCAUGCCUAACACAUGCAAGUCGAACGAGACCUUCGGGUCUAGUGGCGCACGGGUGCGUAACGCGUGGGAACCUGCCCUUAGGUUCGGAAUAACUCCCCGAAAGGGGUGCUAAUACCGGAUAAUGUCUUCGGACCAAAGAUUUAUCGCCUUUGGAUGGGCCCGCGUUGGAUUAGCUAGUUGGUAGGGUAAAAGCCUACCAAGGCGACGAUCCAUAGCUGGUCUGAGAGGAUGAUCAGCCACACUGGGACUGAGACACGGCCCAGACCCCUACGGGAGGCAGCAGUGGGGAAUAUUGGAAAAUGGGCGAAAGCCUGACCCAGCAAUGCCGGGUGAGUGAUGAAGGCCUUAGGGUUGUAAAGCUCUUUUACCCGGGAUGAUAAUGACAGUACCGGGAGAAUAAGCUCCGGCUAACCCCGU